AGUGAACGCUGGCGGUAGGCCUAACACAUGCAAGUCGAACGGCAGCACAGUAAGAGCUUGCUCUUACGGGUGGCGAGUGGCGGACGGGUGAGGAAUACAUCGGAAUCUACUUUUUCGUGGGGGAUAACGUAGGGAAACUUACGCUAAUACCGCAUACGACCUACGGGUGAAAGCAGGGGAUCUUCGGACCUUGCGCGAGUGAAUGAGCCGAUGUCGGAUUAGCUAGUUGGCGGGGUAAAGGCCCACCAAGGCGACGAUCCGUAGCUGGUCUGAUAGGAUGAUCAGCCACACUGGAACUGAGACACGGUCCAGACUCCUACGGGAGGCAGCAUUGGGGAAUAUUGGACAAUGGGCGCAAGCCUGGUCCAGCCAUACCGCGUGGGUGAAGAAGGCCUUCGGGUUGUAAAGCCCUUUUGUUGGGAAAGAAAAGCAGCAGGUUAAUACCCCGCUGUUCUGACGGUACCCAAAGAAUAAGCACCGGCUAACUUCGUG
RNAcentral lists this ribosomal RNA (492 nucleotides) under uncultured bacterium. RNAcentral's name for it is "partial 16S ribosomal RNA". It matches the Rfam family "Bacterial small subunit ribosomal RNA", at positions 29 to 507 of the family's 1533-position model. The record is from RNAcentral.